Long non-coding RNA from Homarus americanus (American lobster), 599 nucleotides. RefSeq lists it as uncharacterized. NCBI's taxonomy places the organism in Eukaryota, Metazoa, Arthropoda, Malacostraca, Decapoda, Nephropidae. The transcript is spliced from 3 exons. The record is from RefSeq and is a predicted model, not a curated record.
GCCCCUGGUGUAGGCGUGCCGCCCGCCAUAUUGUGUUUGCCACUUGUUGUCCUUACAGUCCGCGCGCUGUUUCGCCGUGUUUUGUGCAAGCUUUCUUCCUGUUUAUAACAGCCAGCAAUGAUGAACGGCGAUAACGACGACGUUGGAGGCUACCUGAACCCUGGAACAAAGGUAAACAGUCCACCACUCUCGCUCUCUUGCUGCCUCGCCUCCUGACCACGCGUGUGACUGUCUGGACACUUGUUAUUUUCUUACUCUCUUCUUCUCGGUGUACCAAUAAUGUGUCUAAACUUUUCUUUUAUAGUUGAUAAAUCUCUCUCUUACUUUCACUUACUCUCAAUACAAAUAAGCCAUAUUACCUACCUGUACACCAAUCAGAGUAACCCAAACAAGUCCAGCUUGUAUUAUUGUAUAGUGUAAGUUUUGAUUACCGUAGGUAAGCAGCAGGUCAGACGAUUCCCCAAGAUUGUGUAUGUGCGCGUGUGUGUGUGUGUGUACGUACGUACGUACGUACGUACAGAACUGUAGUCGCUUAAAAAGUAUUGGUUUCAUCAACUUGUGUUAAUUCCAUUGAAUACUUUUGUGUGUUAAUAUAUUGU